GCUUUGUUUUUUUGUCUCAAAAGUUGGCAGCGGGGCAGCAAGCAAGAAAUCACCAGCAAAAUGUUUCCCUCUCAGACUUUUGUUUUCAAUGAUUGAAGCCCAAGCCAGGGUAGGAUUUGCAGGAGGAGGCAGAGGGAGCAGGAGGGCGUGAAGCCUUCCCAAUCUAGUAAGGAAGUUCUCUUCAGGGCAGAGGGAGAGCAAAACCCCAGAGGGGUGCAAUCUUGCAAAAGGUCAAUGAGCCACAAACACAGAUGGGCUCAGAAGCUAUAGCCUCCAUAGCUUAGCACAGAGACCCGUGGAAUCUGAAGGUGCUGCUGGGAUGGGCAAGAGGGACAACUCAGCAGCUUCUCAUCUGUUCCUGUGACUAAUGACCGGGGGAAGCCCCCGGCCUCCGUACUGGUCUUGGGGCAGUGUCCCCAGCCAUGACAGAAGCUAAGGCUGGGGUUGAUGAUAUUUAACCAGGCCCUGCUCCUUCCUUACAUUUGGAACUGAUUGGGAAGUAGACACAAGAGGCAAGUGGAUGGGAAUACAAAUAACUUUAUUCCCAAUAAACUUGGGCUUCAGGCUGUGCCUGGCCAGGCGGGCUUGUCUCUCCUUCUCUUGCCAGUUCUAGAUAUAGGUGGGAGCAACAGAAAAGCCUGCAUAUCCCGCAGGCUUUGAGCCUGGAAGUGGGAUUACUUUGUAGUAUUAGUUUGGGGUAUUUAUGUUUGUCCGAAGUACAGUCACAUAUUGAUUACCAACGGGGAUACAUUCUGAGAAGUGCAUUGCUAGGCGAUUUCGUGGUAGUGGGAACAUCAUAGAGAGUAAUUACGCACACCUAGAUGCUGUGGCCUACUGCACACUCGGGCUACGUGGUACAGCCCGUCACUCCUAGGCUACAAUCCUGCACAGUCCCUACAAUCCUAGGGACUGUCCUGAGGACUGCAGGCAGCUGUAACACAAGGAUGGGGGUCUCACUGUGUUGUGCAGGCUGGCCUCAAAAACUUCUGGGCUCAAGCAAUCCUCACACUUCAGCCUCCCAAGUAGCUGGGACUACAGGUGUGUGCUGCCAUGCCCAGCUGAUUCACAUAAUUCCAAGUUACGCUUUUUGCCUUAACAUCCAUCUUUAUUUGAUAUCAUUAUGGCUAUACUAGCUUUCUUUUGAUUGGUGUUUGCAUAGUAUAUCUUUUUCCAUUUGUAAAGUUUUAUUCUUUAUAUAGCUUUGUGUUCAAGAUGUUAUGCUCAUAAGCAGCAUAUGACUGUUAUUUAUGUUGUUAUCCAGUUCAAAAACCUGUAUAUUUCAUUUAGGGAUCUUGAUCCAUUUAUAUUUAACAUAAUU
RNAcentral lists this long non-coding RNA (1318 nucleotides) under Homo sapiens (human). RNAcentral's name for it is "non-protein coding lnc-SPRTN-3:1". The record is from RNAcentral. Lineage: Eukaryota; Metazoa; Chordata; Mammalia; Primates; Hominidae.